GCUGGCGGCAUGCCUAACACAUGCAAGUCGAACGGUAACAGGUCUUCGGAUGCUGACGAGUGGCGCACGGGUGAGUAACGCGUGGAUAUCUGCCUAUGAGUGGGGGACAACUUUCGGAAACGAAAGCUAAUACCGCAUAAUCUCUACGGAGCAAAGCAGGGGACCUUUCGGGGCCUUGUGCUUAUAGAUGAGUCCGCGUCAGAUUAGCUAGUUGGUGGGGUAAGAGCCUACCAAGGCGAUGAUCUGUAGCUGGUUUGAGAGGAUGAUCAGUCACACUGGAACUGAGACACGGUCCAGACUCCUACGGGAGGCAGCAGUGGGGAAUUUUGCACAAUGGGGGAAACCCUGAUGCAGCGAUGCCGCGUGUGGGAAGAAGGCCUUUGGGUUGUAAACCACUUUCAAUUGGGAAGAAGGGAUGAGGAUUAAUAAUCCUCUGACUUGACGGUACCUUUAGAAGAAGCACCGGCUAAUUUCGUGCCAGCAGCCGCGGUAAUACGAAAGGUGCAAGCGUUGUUCGGAUUUACUGGGCGUAAAGAGAUCGUAGGUGGUUUGUUAAGUUGGAUGUGAAAUCCCGGGGCUCAACCUCGGAACUGCAUCCAAAACUGGCAGACUUGAGUUCGGGAGGGGUAAGCGGAAUUCCGUGUGUAGCAGUGAAAUGCGUAGAUAUACGGAGGAACACCUGAGGCGAAGGCGGCUUACUGGACCGAUACUGACACUGAGGAUCGAAAGCGUGGGUAGCAAACAGGAUUAGAUACCCUGGUAGUCCACGCCCUAAACGAUGUCAACUAGCCGUUGCGGGUAUCGACCCCUGCAGUGGCGCAGCUAACGCGAUAAGUUGACCGCCUGGGGAGUACGGUC
This 858-nucleotide ribosomal RNA is filed under the name uncultured Zetaproteobacteria bacterium. RNAcentral describes it as "bacterial SSU rRNA". It matches the Rfam family "Bacterial small subunit ribosomal RNA", at positions 35 to 887 of the family's 1533-position model. The record is from RNAcentral. Lineage: Bacteria; Pseudomonadati; Pseudomonadota; Candidatius Mariprofundia.